AGGGCAAAAUGGCCGUGCUGGUGGUGGCCGUGAGCGUAGGAGAUAGAAAAGUUGUGAUCAAGGAGGUCUUUUUGGUUGGCUUUUUUUCUUCCCUCUUCUUCUUUUAAAUCAUUACGACUGGAGAAAGCAAGAGGUCAGAGAUUUGAGGAUAUGUAAUCUCAUCGAUAUGGCAAGGAAUGUAACAUAGAUACAAAGUCUUUGUGGGGCUGUAUAGAGCCGCCGGAAACGUAGAAAAUGAGAAAAAUCAUAUAUGAUCUCGAAAGCCCCCCAAACGUACCACCAAGCGAUUCCCUUUUUGCUACAGGAUAUCUAGCUAUGUGAGCCGGCAGUUUGACUUGGUCUGAACGAUGCAUAUGUUUUGCCUUUACC
This 369-nucleotide small RNA is filed under the name Histoplasma ohiense. Its description in RNAcentral is "hypothetical lncRNA". The record is from RNAcentral. Lineage: Eukaryota; Fungi; Ascomycota; Eurotiomycetes; Onygenales; Ajellomycetaceae.